Molecule: ribosomal RNA, 743 nt
Filed under: Streptomyces sp.
Lineage: Bacteria; Bacillati; Actinomycetota; Actinomycetes; Kitasatosporales; Streptomycetaceae
Description: bacterial SSU rRNA
Rfam family: Bacterial small subunit ribosomal RNA
Source: RNAcentral
UCCUUAUACAUGCAGUCGAACGAUGAAGCCUUUCGGGGUGGAUUAGUGGCGAACGGGUGAGUAACACGUGGGCAAUCUGCCCUUCACUCUGGGACAAGCCCUGGAAACGGGGUCUAAUACCGGAUAACACUCUGUCCCGCAUGGGACGGGGUUAAAAGCUCCGGCGGUGAAGGAUGAGCCCGCGGCCUAUCAGCUUGUUGGUGGGGUAAUGGCCUACCAAGGCGACGACGGGUAGCCGGCCUGAGAGGGCGACCGGCCACACUGGGACUGAGACACGGCCCAGACUCCUACGGGAGGCAGCAGUGGGGAAUAUUGCACAAUGGGCGAAAGCCUGAUGCACCGACGCCGCGUGAGGGAUGACGGCCUUCGGGUUGUAAACCUCUUUCAGCAGGGAAGAAGCGAAAGUGACGGUACCUGCAGAAGAAGCGCCGGCUAACUACGUGCCAGCAGCCGCGGUAAUACGUAGGGCGCAAGCGUUGUCCGGAAUUAUUGGGCGUAAAGAGCUCGUAGGCGGCUUGUCACGUCGGAUGUGAAAGCCCGGGGCUUAACCCCGGGUCUGCAUUCGAUACGGGCUAGCUAGAGUGUGGUAGGGGAGAUCGGAAUUCCUGGUGUAGCGGGUGAAAUGCGCAGAUAUCAGGAGGAACACCGGUGGCGAAGGCGGAUCUCUGGGCCAUUACUGACGCUGAGGAGCGAAAGCGUGGGGGAGCGAAAAGGAAUUAGAUUCCCUUGGGUAAUUCCACGGC